This 200-nucleotide ribosomal RNA is filed under the name uncultured bacterium. RNAcentral describes it as "partial 16S ribosomal RNA". It matches the Rfam family "Bacterial small subunit ribosomal RNA", at positions 524 to 723 of the family's 1533-position model. The record is from RNAcentral.
UACGGAGGAUCCAAGCGUUAUCCGGAUUUAUUGGGUUUAAAGGGAGCGUAGGCGGCCCGUUAAGUCAGGGGUGAAAGACGGUGGCUCAACCAUCGCAGUGCCUUUGAUACUGACGGGCUUGAAUGUAGUUGAGGUGGGCGGAAUGUGACAAGUAGCGGUGAAAUGCAUAGAUAUGUCACAGAACACCGAUUGCGAAGGCA